CCCAGUUCGGAUCGCAGGCUGCAACCCGCCUGCGUGAGGUCGGAAUCGCUAGUAAUCGCGGAUCAGCAUGCCGCGGUGAAUACGUUCCCGGGCCUUGUACACACCGCCCGUCACACCAUGAGAGUCGGGAACACCCGAAGUCCGUAGCCUAACCGAAAGGGGGCGCGGCCGAAGGUGGGUUCGAUAAUUGGGGUGAAGUCGUAACAAGGUACC
Molecule: ribosomal RNA, 213 nt
Filed under: uncultured bacterium
Lineage: Bacteria
Description: partial 16S ribosomal RNA
Rfam family: Bacterial small subunit ribosomal RNA
Source: RNAcentral